GACGAACGCUGGCGGCGUGCUUAACACAUGCAAGUCGAACGGAAAGGCCUGCUUUCCCUUGUGGAUUGCGGGUACUCGAGUGGCGAACGGGUGAGUAACACGUGAGUGAUCUGCCCCCAACUUGGGUAUAAGCCUGGGAAACUGGGUCUAAUUCCCGAUAGGACUGCAGGGUGGUGCCUGUGGUGGAAAACGAUUUUCUAGUGGUUGGGGAUGAGCUCGCGGCCUAUCAGCUUGUUGGUGGGGUAAUGGCCUACCAAGGCGGCGACGGGUAGCCGGCCUGAGAGGGUGGACGGCCACAUUGGGACUGAGAUACGGCCCAGACUCCUACGGGAGGCAGCAGUGGGGAAUAUUGCACAAUGGGCGGAAGCCUGAUGCAGCGACGCCGCGUGGGGGAUGACGGCCUUCGGGUUGUAAACUCCUUUCGACCGCGAGGAAGCCACCUGGUUGGAGGGGUGGUGACGGUAGUGGUAGAAGAAGCACCGGCUAACUACGUG
RNAcentral lists this ribosomal RNA (494 nucleotides) under uncultured bacterium. Its description in RNAcentral is "partial 16S ribosomal RNA". It matches the Rfam family "Bacterial small subunit ribosomal RNA", at positions 28 to 507 of the family's 1533-position model. The record is from RNAcentral.